UGGGGAAUUUUGCACAAUGGGGGAAACCCUGAUGCAGCGACGCCGCGUGAUUUAGAAGGCCUUCGGGUUGUAAAAAUCUUUUUUAUGGGAUGAAAAUGACAGUACCAUAAGAAUAAGGUCCGGCUAAAUACGUGCCAGCAGCCGCGGUAAUACGUAGGUGGCAAGCGUUAUCCGGAAUUAUUGGGCGUAAAGCGCGCGUAGGCGGUUUUUUAAGUCUGAUGUGAAAGCCCACGGCUCAACCGUGGAGGGUCAUUGGAAACUGGAAAACUUGAGUGCAGAAGAGGAAAGUGGAAUUCCAUGUGUAGCGGUGAAAUGCGCAGAGAUAUGGAGGAACACCAGUGGCGAAGGCGACUUUCUGGUCUGUAACUGACGCUGAUGUGCGAAAGCGUGGGGAUCAAACAGG
RNAcentral lists this ribosomal RNA (403 nucleotides) under Bacteroidota bacterium. RNAcentral describes it as "Bacteroidetes bacterium partial 16S ribosomal RNA". It matches the Rfam family "Bacterial small subunit ribosomal RNA", at positions 355 to 776 of the family's 1533-position model. The record is from RNAcentral. Lineage: Bacteria; Pseudomonadati; Bacteroidota.